GCCUGUGUUACAUAACAAUAUAAUAUGAUCAACUAGAUACUUACACAAUUCAUAUAAAAAAACAUUACAAACACAUUCCAUAAAAAAAAACAUUACAUAUAUCAAAGAGUUAAUAAUAGAUAUGUCCAUAACUCAUCAUUACAAUCAUAGAUCUAGCAAGUGAAAAACAUCCCUCCAACAUGAAAACCUUAAUCAUUGUUAUGAUCUUUGCUAUAACAUUGAUUCUUUCACUUGAGGUUAAUGUUGUCAAAGCUAGAACUUACCCAUCUUCAUCUCAAGUUUCAAAAGUGCUUUCAUCAUUCCAACCACAUAAAGAAGGGUCAUCAAAAUCAACUCAAGAUCAGCAUGAGGUAGUUGCUAGCCUUAAAUUCAUACCACCUAGCAGACCAAAUCCAACACAGAACAAGUUAAAUCCUAAGAUAAAGGAUUAAGCAGAGAAAUUGGUGGUGGUGGUGGUGGAGCUGUGUAGAUUCAGACUUGUAGCAAGCAUCAACUCGGUUUUGAUCUAUAGCUUUGUUUUUUUUGGGACUGUUUCUCAUCUUUAAAUUGUUAGUUUUGUUAGUCAUAGUGAGAUAUAUAGUUGAGUUUAGAUUUCAAUUUAUGUUGUCUUUAACUUGAUGCUUUAGAAUAUAGAUAGGGUAGGAGGUGAUGAAUGUAAAGGAGAAAAUGAGUAGUAGCAUCAAAAUGUGUCAAACUCAAAACUGUUAAUUUUUUUUUUUUGCAUAACAAUGAAAUUUGUUUGUUUUGUUUC
Lathyrus oleraceus (garden pea) is the source of this 751-nucleotide long non-coding RNA. RefSeq lists it as uncharacterized. The transcript is spliced from 2 exons. The record is from RefSeq and is a predicted model, not a curated record. Lineage: Eukaryota; Viridiplantae; Streptophyta; Magnoliopsida; Fabales; Fabaceae.